This 833-nucleotide long non-coding RNA is filed under the name Olea europaea subsp. europaea. The record is from RNAcentral. Lineage: Eukaryota; Viridiplantae; Streptophyta; Magnoliopsida; Lamiales; Oleaceae.
AUUUUAUUUACAAAUUUUAGUUUUAUGUCCACAAAGAUAUACAUAAUUGAACUUAAGUUCGUUCAAACACAAGCUAGGUUUAAUUAAAUUGAAAGUUCAUAGUAUUAAUUUCUUAAGUAACAAUACUUGGACUCAUAUUCAUAUUAUUGCUUGUCACGAUACCGUACACUCGUAAUUUAUUCAAACAUUUGACAUUAGCAAUACUGCUUUAUUUAUUUUACAAGUUAACUGCUGCUAUAGGAGUCCAAUCACAUGGCUUUUUUAGUAAGAUUAUAUUCAUAUAUCACGAAAUCCAGCAACAUCUUGGGGUUAUCUGGCGUGAGCGUGGUGAUCCACACCGUCCCUGCACACAUGGCAUUGGGUACGGGCUUGGACUUGGAAUCGGGCUCGGACGCCUCCAGGAUUAUACAGUACAUGGACCCUGCAACCACGUUUCGCUGUUUCGCACAGAUUACCUUCUCAUAUUUCAGAACCGGUUGAUGCUGCAGUCAUAAGGGAAGAAAAAUAAAUGAGAUUUCAGACUCAAUUCCAAAAUUUCAUACGGUCAUGAAAAUCGCAGGCAAUUGUAAUUAAUAAGAUGCAAAAAAUAAUCGUAGUUGAAGAUUAACAAAAUCAACACAAAAAGGGGGAAAAAAAACCUUUUACCCGUUGUAUUCAUCAACAGCAAAACGAGCGAGAUCAUCAAAAUCGGGGAUAAUUCCUCCAAAGGUGGGCUUUGCGGCCAUUCUCACAGACAACUGAAUUUUUUUGCUGAGAAAAAUCUCUCUUUCUUUUCUUUUGGUGUGUGAAUAAUUGAAGGCAGUUCAAAUGAUUUAUAUAGAGACUGGGGAAAG